UACAGAGGUCUCAAGCGUUGUUCGGAUUCAUUGGGCGUAAGGGGUGCGUAGGCGGCGCGGUAAGUCGGGUGUGAAAUCUCGGAGCUUAACUCCGAAACUGCAUUCGAUACUGCCGUGCUUGAGGACUGGAGAGGAGACUGGAAUUUACGGUGUAGCGGUGAAAUGCGUAGAUAUCGUAAGGAAGACCAGUGGCGAAGGCGGGUCUCUGGACAGUUCCUGACGCUGAGGCACGAAGGUCAGGGGAGCAAACGGG
Molecule: ribosomal RNA, 253 nt
Filed under: uncultured bacterium
Lineage: Bacteria
Description: partial 16S ribosomal RNA
Rfam family: Bacterial small subunit ribosomal RNA
Source: RNAcentral